GACGAACGCUGGCGGCGUGCUUAACACAUGCAAGUCGAACGGAAAGGCCCUGCCUUUGUGGGGUGCUCGAGUGGCGAACGGGUGAGUAACACGUGAGUAACCUGCCCUUGACUCUGGGAUAACUUCUGGAAACUGCGUCUAAUACCGGAUAGGAGCUCCUGAUGCAUCGUGAGCAUCGGAAAGUUUCGGCGGUUGGGGAUGGACUCGCGGCUUAUCAGCUUGUUGGUGGGGUAGUGGCUUACCAAGGCGUUGACGGGUAGCCGGCCUGAGAGGGUGACCGGCCACAUUGGGACUGAGAUACGGCCCAGACUCCUACGGGAGGCAGCAGUGGGGAAUAUUGCACAAUGGGCGGAAGCCUGAUGCAGCAACGCCGCGUGAGGGAUGACGGCCUUCGGGUUGUAAACCGCUUUCGCCUGUGACGAAGCGUGAGUGACGGUAACGGGUAAAGAAGCACCGGCUAACUACGUG
RNAcentral lists this ribosomal RNA (468 nucleotides) under uncultured bacterium. RNAcentral's name for it is "partial 16S ribosomal RNA". It matches the Rfam family "Bacterial small subunit ribosomal RNA", at positions 28 to 507 of the family's 1533-position model. The record is from RNAcentral.